CGGUGCUCCGGGAGGGCCUCGCGGCCUAUCAGCUUGUUGGUGGGGUAACGGCCUACCAAGGCAUCGACGGGUAGCUGGUCUGAGAGGACGAUCAGCCACACUGGGACUGAGACACGGCCAGACUCCUACGGGAGGCAGCAGUGGGGAAUAUUGCGCAAUGGGCGAAAGCCUGACGCAGCAACGCCGCGUGGGGGAUGAAGGCCUUCGGGUUGUAAACCCCUUUCAGCAGGGACGAAAAUGACGGUACCUCCAAAAGAAGCCCCGGCCAACUACGUGCCAGCAGCCGCGGUAAGACGUAGGGGGCGAGCGUUGUCCGGAAUCAUUGGGCGUAAAGGGCUCGUAGGCGGCUCGGUAAGUCGAUCGUGAAAUCCCGGAGCUCAACUCCGGAACUGCGGUCGAUACUGCCGUGGCUAGAGUCAGGUAGAGGAGAGUAGAAUUCCCGGUGUAGCGGUGGAAUGCGCAGAUAUCGGGAGGAAUACCAUUUAGCGAAGGCGGCUCUCUGGGCCUGUACUGACGCUGAGGAGCGAAAGCGUGGGUAGCAAACAGGAUUAGAUACCCUGGUAGUC
This 566-nucleotide ribosomal RNA is filed under the name uncultured Actinomycetes bacterium. RNAcentral describes it as "bacterial SSU rRNA". It matches the Rfam family "Bacterial small subunit ribosomal RNA", at positions 213 to 795 of the family's 1533-position model. Lineage: Bacteria; Bacillati; Actinomycetota; Actinomycetes. The record is from RNAcentral.